GCCGAGGUAGCUCAGUUGGUAGAGNNGUCCGCAGUUCGAUUCUGCGCCUCGGCACCA
RNAcentral lists this transfer RNA (57 nucleotides) under Nitrospiraceae bacterium. Its description in RNAcentral is "tRNA-Ser". Lineage: Bacteria; Pseudomonadati; Nitrospirota; Nitrospiria; Nitrospirales; Nitrospiraceae. The record is from RNAcentral.